Molecule: long non-coding RNA, 188 nt
Filed under: Polistes fuscatus (common paper wasp)
Lineage: Eukaryota; Metazoa; Arthropoda; Insecta; Hymenoptera; Vespidae
Description: uncharacterized LOC122514179
Source: RNAcentral
AAUUUACUUUGCGAACCAUCGGCUAAGCCUGUGAUUACCGAAAUCCAAUUUUCUGCGAAUGGAACUUUAUGUGCCCCAUCGACUUCGAAUUUACUAGUGACUUCUGAACCAUUGGCUCAGCCUAUGAAUAACGAUGCAUCGUUGUCUACUGCAAAAGAUAACUAUCACAAUUAUAUUACUGUGCAAAC